UACGUAGGGUGCGAGCGUUAAUCGGAAUUACUGGGCGUAAAGCGUGCGCAGGCGGUUCGUGAUGUCUGGUGUGAAAGCCCCGGGCUUAACCUGGGAAUUGCAUUGGAAACUAGCGGGCUGGAGUGUGGCAGAGGGGGGUGGAAUUCCACGUGUAGCAGUGAAAUGCGUAGAGAUGUGGAGGAACACCGAUGGCGAAGGCAGCCCCCUGGGCUAACACUGACGCUCAUGCACGAAAGCGUGGGGAGCAAACGGG
Molecule: ribosomal RNA, 253 nt
Filed under: uncultured bacterium
Lineage: Bacteria
Description: partial 16S ribosomal RNA
Rfam family: Bacterial small subunit ribosomal RNA
Source: RNAcentral